RNAcentral lists this ribosomal RNA (515 nucleotides) under uncultured Bacilli bacterium. Its description in RNAcentral is "bacterial SSU rRNA". It matches the Rfam family "Bacterial small subunit ribosomal RNA", at positions 391 to 897 of the family's 1533-position model. The record is from RNAcentral. Lineage: Bacteria; Bacillati; Bacillota; Bacilli.
GACACGCCGCGUGAGCGAUGAAGGCUUUCGGGUCGUAAAGCUCUGUUGUUAGGGAAGAACAAGUACCGGAGUAACUGCCGGUACCUUGACGGUACCUAACCAGAAAGCCACGGCUAACUACGUGCCAGCAGCCGCGGUAAUACGUAGGUGGCAAGCGUUGUCCGGAAUUAUUGGGCGUAAAGCGCGCGCAGGCGGUCCUUUAAGUCUGAUGUGAAAGCCCACGGCUCAACCGUGGAGGGUCAUUGGAAACUGGGGGACUUGAGUACAGAAGAGGAAAGCGGAAUUCCACGUGUAGCGGUGAAAUGCGUAGAGAUGUGGAGGAACACCAGUGGCGAAGGCGGCUUUCUGGUCUGUAACUGACGCUGAGGCGCGAAAGCGUGGGGAGCAAACAGGAUUAGAUACCCUGGUAGUCCACGCCGUAAACGAUGAGUGCUAAGUGUUAGAGGGUUUCCGCCCUUUAGUGCUGCAGCUAACGCAUUAAGCACUCCGCCUGGGGAGUACGGCCGCAAGGCUGA